GACGAACGCUGGCGGCGUGCCUAAUACAUGCAAGUCGUGCGGACCUUUUCAGCGCUUGCUUUUAGCUGGUUAGCGGCGGACGGGUGAGUAACGCGUGUACAACCUGCCUGUCAGACUGGGAUAACGCCGGGACACCGGCGAUAAUACCAGAUCGUUUUUUCCUCCGCAUGGGGGAAAGGGGAGAGGCGGCUGCGGCUGCCACUCACAGGUCGGAUCGCGGCGCAUGAGGGGGUUGGCGUGGUAACGGCCCAGCAAGGCAACGAGGCGUAGCGGACCUGCGGGGGUGGGCGGCCACAUUGGGACUGAGACCCGCCCCAAUGGCCUACAGGAGGCAGCAGUAGUGCAACGUCCGCCAUGGGCGGAAGUCAGAGGGCGCAACGCGGCGUGAGUGAAGAAGGCCUCCGCGUCGGAAAACUCUGCUGCCGGGGAAGAACAAGCGCCGGCCGAAGAGGGCGGCUCCGUGACGGUACCCGGCAAGAAAGCCACGGCUAACUACGUG
RNAcentral lists this ribosomal RNA (499 nucleotides) under uncultured bacterium. RNAcentral's name for it is "partial 16S ribosomal RNA". It matches the Rfam family "Bacterial small subunit ribosomal RNA", at positions 28 to 507 of the family's 1533-position model. The record is from RNAcentral.